Molecule: ribosomal RNA, 1429 nt
Filed under: Isthmohyla picadoi
Lineage: Eukaryota; Metazoa; Chordata; Amphibia; Anura; Hylidae
Description: partial 16S ribosomal RNA
Rfam family: Bacterial large subunit ribosomal RNA
Source: RNAcentral
ACUAACAAUCUAGCCCCAUAUAUAAAUAUAUAUGUUAAUCUUACAUAUCUGAACUCAUUAAUUAAAACAUUUUUACAUUUUAGUAAAGGCGAUUAAAAAAUUAUUAAGAGCUAUACAAAUAGUACCGUAAGGGAAAGAUGAAAUAAAGAUGAAACAAAUUUCAAGUAAAAAAUAGUAGAGUUUUCUCCUCGUACCUUUUGCAUCAUGGUUUAACUAGUUUAAUUAAGCAAAAAGACUUAUAGUUUAACCUCCCGAAACUAGGCGAGCUACUUCAAGGCAGCUUACUGAGCAAACCCGUCUCUGUUGCAAAAGAGUGGGAUGACCUUCAAGUAGAGGUGACAGGCCUAACGAGCCUAGUGAUAGCUGGUUAUUCAGGAAAAGAAUUUAAGUCCAACCUAAAGUUUUUUGAAAUAAAAAGAAAUAAAAAUUUUACUUUAGAGCAAUUCAAGUAAGGUACAGCCUACUUGAAACAGGAUACAACCUCUUAAGAUGGGUAAUUAUUUUGUUAAGAUAGUCAAGUAGGCCUAAAAGCAGCCACCUUAAAAAUAGCGUCAAAGCUCCAUUAUUCUUCAACUCUAAUCCCUUAAACUAUUAAAAACCCUCUAUCAGUACUGAAUUCUUCUAUAAUUUUAUAGAAUAUUUUAUGUUAAAACUAGUAAUAAGAAGAAGCCCUUCACUUCAAUGUAAAUGUAAAUCAGAUAGGACACACCGCUGACCAUUAACAUUCAUGCAAAAAAUUAAUAACUUUACAAGAAAACCUUAAUUUUUAUUUUGUUAACCUGACACAAGAACAUUAUAAGUAAGUUUAAAAGAAAAAGAAGGAACUCGGCAAACAUAAACCUCGCCUGUUUACCAAAAACAUCGCCUCUUGAUUAACUAUAAGAGGUCCAGCCUGCCCAGUGACUCUGUUCAACGGCCGCGGUAUCCUAACCGUGCGAAGGUAGCGUAAUCACUUGUUCUUUAAAUGGGGACUAGUAUGAAUGGCACCACGAAGGUUACACUGUCUCCUUUUUCCAACCAGUGAAACUAAUCUCCCCGUGAAGAAGCGGGGAUAAAUAUAUAAGACGAGAAGACCCUAUGGAGCUUUAAACUAAAUUACAUCUGCUUUUAAUUCUUUUCUCCCGGGUAUAAACAUUUAUUUAAGCCCUUUGAUUUUUAGUUUUAGGUUGGGGUGACCGCGGAGUAAAAAAAAACCUCCACGUCGAAUGGAACUAAAUUCCUAAGCCACGAGUUUCAUCUCUACACACCAAUAAAUUGACGUAAAUUGACCCAAUAUAUUGAUCAACGAACCAAGUUACCCUAGGGAUAACAGCGCAAUCCGCUUCAAGAGCUCCUAUCGACAAACGGGUUUACGACCUCGAUGUUGGAUCAGGAUAUCCCAGUGGUGCAGCCGCUACUAAAGGUUCGUUUGUUCAACGAUUAAAAUCCU